RNAcentral lists this ribosomal RNA (450 nucleotides) under Alexandrium margalefii. Its description in RNAcentral is "partial Bacterial large subunit ribosomal RNA". It matches the Rfam family "Bacterial large subunit ribosomal RNA", at positions 2009 to 2483 of the family's 2925-position model. The record is from RNAcentral. Lineage: Eukaryota; Dinophyceae; Gonyaulacales; Pyrocystaceae.
GGCCCUGCUGUCUCCACUAGCUUCUCAGUGAAAUUGAAUUAGCCGUGCAGAUGCGGUUUGCCUUCCGGAGGACGCGAAGACCCUAUGCAGCUUUACUGUAUUCUGAUAUUGCCGUUUGUGAUAUAUAGUGUAGAAUACAAGGGAGUGAAAACAUCCGUGAAAUACCUUGAUAUAUUGAAAUGAAUGGCUUAUUUAUUAAAAGACAGUGUCAGAUGGUCAGUUUUACUGGGGCGGUAGCCUCUAAAAAAGUAUCAGAGGCCUUCAAAGGUAUAUUUAAAUUGGUCGGAAACCAAUGGAAUAAUAGUAUUCUAUCAAAAUGUAAUGAUAAAGUAUGCUUUACUGAAAGAUUGAUAAAUCGAUCAGUUACGCAAGUAGGAUAUAGUGAUCCGAUGAUUCAGAAUGGAAUGAUCAUCGCUCAAGAAAUAAAAGUUACGCUAGGGAUAACAGGUU